ACGGGUGAGUAACGCGUGAGUAACCUGCCUUUCGGAGGGGGACAACAGCUGGAAACGGCUGCUAAUACCGCAUAACGUAUAUUGAGGGCAUCCUCGAUAUACCAAAGAUUUAUCGCCGAGAGAUGGACUCGCGUCUGAUUAGCUAGUUGGUGAGGUAAUGGCUCACCAAGGCUGCGAUCAGUAGCCGGACUGAGAGGUUGAACGGCCACAUUGGGACUGAGAUACGGCCCAGACUCCUACGGGAGGCAGCAGUGGGGAAUAUUGGGCAAUGGGGGAAACCCUGACCCAGCAACGCCGCGUGAAGGAAGAAGGCUUUCGGGUUGUAAACUUCUUUGACGAGGGACGAAACAAAUGACGGUACCUCGAAAACAAGCCACGGCUAACUACGUGCCAGCAGCCGCGGUAAUACGUAGGUGGCAAGCGUUAUCCGGAUUUACUGGGUGUAAAGGGCGCGUAGGCGGGACUGCAAGUCAGAUGUGAAAUGUGAGGGCUUAACCCUCAAGCUGCAUUUGAAACUGUGGUUCUUGAGUAUCGGAGAGGCAGGCGGAAUUCCAAGU
RNAcentral lists this ribosomal RNA (557 nucleotides) under uncultured bacterium. RNAcentral describes it as "bacterial SSU rRNA". It matches the Rfam family "Bacterial small subunit ribosomal RNA", at positions 102 to 674 of the family's 1533-position model. The record is from RNAcentral.